This 316-nucleotide long non-coding RNA is filed under the name Elaeis guineensis (African oil palm). Its description in RNAcentral is "long non-coding RNA (EGUI_LNC080208)". The record is from RNAcentral. Lineage: Eukaryota; Viridiplantae; Streptophyta; Magnoliopsida; Arecales; Arecaceae.
UAUUCAUGAUUUAUUUUGAUUGAGUUAUUUUCUGUUAUAUAAUUAGCAAUAGGAUUGCUAUUUAUGAAAUGUGCUGAUCUAUUUGUGAAAUGAGUCAACAUAUUUGGUGAACAGAAAAUAAAACCUUUCAAAUUUGAAAAUUAUUUUCGAAAUAUCAAACCCUGACCCAUCAGCCCAAAUACUUAAUUAAAAGAAUUAAGUGUUGUCUAGUAGGUCUAGAAUUGUGAAUUAAGACCUAAGACAAUUGCAUAAACUUGUGGAUCAAUGGGUUAGAUGGAUUAGGUCCAUAAUUGGGUUAGACCUAAGGUUAGCUUAA